AGUAGGGGGAAAAAAAUCUUGUAUAUGAUGAUAGUGACAUUAUUGAUAUACUUGUGCAUUGACCCGCGUGUUACAGCGGGUAGAUACUGUUAAAGUGAAAAUUUGUAAAAAAUAAAAUAUCAGUUUAGUAUAAAAAAUAAUUAGUCUAUAUUAUAGACAAACACUUUUUUUAGCAAAAAACUAUAAUGAAAAAGAAUCAAUCGUUCCAACAAAAUUAUUCAAUCUUGUUCAAAAGAGAUCGCAUAUCAUGCAAAUGAAUGAUUAAAAUUAUUUUUAUAACACAAUAAUCAAAAAAUAUCAUAUUGCAGUUAAUAUGACUAAAGAAAGGCUCAUAAUAAUACGUAAGAUAAUUUAUAAGUAUUAUAUAUAUAUAAAUAUAUAUAUAUAGGGACAAAAAAAACUGAAGCAAAUAUAAUACUGCAUUAAAAUGUGAAAAAGUUAAAAAAAAAAAAAAGUAGGCCCCACUUCUUCUCAAAUUAAGGGGGUGGGUACAUGUAGGAUUUAAUCAUAGGGAUUAAUGUAUAGGUAUAGANCUCAAAUUAAGGGGGUGGGUACAUGUAGGAUUUAAUCAUAGGGAUUAAUGUAUAGGUAUAGAUGGUCUGUUUGUUUCAACGUAAAUAGAUUUUGGAUUCAAGUAGACUUUGGGUUGAACUAAAGUUCAGGUGAAAAUUACUUUAUCUCCGCUGUUUAUUUCUAUAGCUGUGAAGUGAAGUUCUGCCAAUUCUGUUAUUUGUUUAGUAGGAAGUGAAUGAAAUAAAAAGUGCGGUUCUUCAUUUACUCUGUUUGUUUUAUUGAAAAUUAUUUAAUCUCCGCACCCCCAUAAACUUACCUCCUACAUAAUAUUAUUGUCUCUUUUGUAACUUAAUAAAUAAUAAAUUAUAAAAAAUAAAUAAAAAAUAAUACAAUUAUAUUUCUAUACAAUUAUAAAAUAAAAUUUAAAAUAAUUAUAUUAAUUUUUUAUAUAAAUUAUAAUAAUGCAACAAAUAAAAUUUUAAAUUUAAAGAAUUAUUAAUAUUUAAAAAUUAAUUUUCAUCGUAUUUUUUAUGCCCCAACUUCCCAGGGGGUCAUCCAUCCUACGACUACUUCCGUCAAAACACACUUAACUCUCUUAACCUCUUGAAUCUAACCACUGCCCAAAAUACUUAAGCUGGAUUAAAAGUAUUAGCCCUAUUAUAUCAUAUAUAUAUAGGACUAUCUGGGGACUCGCAUUCUAAGGCUACUCUCGUCCUAGCACACUUAACUC
This 1243-nucleotide long non-coding RNA is filed under the name Ananas comosus (pineapple). RNAcentral describes it as "long non-coding RNA (ACOM_LNC033102)". Lineage: Eukaryota; Viridiplantae; Streptophyta; Magnoliopsida; Poales; Bromeliaceae. The record is from RNAcentral.